AGCGAACGCUAGCGGCGGGCUUAACACAUGCAAGUCGAGCGCCUUACUUCGGUAAGGAGCGGCGGACGGGUGAGUAACACGUAGGGUUAUCUGCCCCGGGGUGAGGGACAACUGAGGGAAACUUCAGCUAAAUACCACAUAUGGCCUACGGGUCAAAGGCUUCGGCCGCCCGUGGGAUGAGCCUGCGUCCCAUUAUUUAAUCCUAGUUGGUGGGGUAAUGGCCUACCAAGGGGUACGAUGGGUAGCUGGUUUGAGAGAAUGAUCAGCCACACUGGAACUGAGACACGGUCCAGACUCCUACGGGAGGCAGCAGUGGGGAAUAUUGC
This 326-nucleotide ribosomal RNA is filed under the name uncultured bacterium. Its description in RNAcentral is "bacterial SSU rRNA". It matches the Rfam family "Bacterial small subunit ribosomal RNA", at positions 29 to 367 of the family's 1533-position model. The record is from RNAcentral.